Molecule: ribosomal RNA, 497 nt
Filed under: uncultured bacterium
Lineage: Bacteria
Description: partial 16S ribosomal RNA
Rfam family: Bacterial small subunit ribosomal RNA
Source: RNAcentral
GAUGAACGCUGGCGGCGUGCCUAAUACAUGCAAGUCGAGCGAACGGACGAGAAGCUUGCUUCUCUGAUGUUAGCGGCGGACGGGUGAGUAACACGUGGAUAACCUACCUAUAAGACUGGGAUAACUUCGGGAAACCGGAGCUAAUACCGGAUGAUAUUUUGAACCGCAUGGUUCAAAAGUGAAAGACGGUCUUGCUGUCACUUAUAGAUGGAUCCGCGCUGCAUUAGCUAGUUGGUAAGGUAACGGCUUACCAAGGCAACGAUGCAUAGCCGACCUGAGAGGGUGAUCGGCCACACUGGAACUGAGACACGGUCCAGACUCCUACGGGAGGCAGCAGUAGGGAAUCUUCCGCAAUGGGCGAAAGCCUGACGGAGCAACGCCGCGUGAGUGAUGAAGGUCUUCGGAUCGCAAAACUCUGUUAUUAGGGAAGAACAUAUGUGUAAGUAACUGUGCACAUCUUGACGGUACCUAAUCAGAAAGCCACGGCUAACUACGUG